UACGUAGGGACCGAGCGUUGUCCGGAUUCAUUGGGCGUAAAGAGCUCGUAGGCGGCUGUUCAAGUCGAACGUGAAAACUCGGAGCUCAACUCCGAGCCUGCGUUCGAUACUGGACGGCUAGAGUCUGGUAGGGGGAUCUGGAAUUCCUGGUGUAGCGGUGGAAUGCGCAGAUAUCAAGAGGAAUACCUGAGGUGAAGACGGGUUGCUAGGCCGACACUGACGCUGAAGCGCGAAAGCCAGGGGAGCAAACGGG
RNAcentral lists this ribosomal RNA (253 nucleotides) under uncultured bacterium. Its description in RNAcentral is "partial 16S ribosomal RNA". It matches the Rfam family "Bacterial small subunit ribosomal RNA", at positions 524 to 776 of the family's 1533-position model. The record is from RNAcentral.